CGCCCCCCCGGUUGCCUCUCUCACCUUUGUCAGAUUAUACAAUGAAGUCCCUAAAUACGACAAGGAAGAAUAAUAGGAGUCCGUGACCGAGUCAAUGAGAUCUUCUUCGAGGGUUUGUAGAAACUACGGUCAGAAGAUGGCUGUUGAAUAUUUAGAGCUCUUAAUGCUGCUAAAUUAGAUAAGGUCAUAAUUUUGUAUGAUAUUUAAUUGAUUUGUGUUUAAAUCUUGUGUUAUAGUUUGAACGUGAACAAACUUUUUUUUUUUGUAUAUUGAUGUUUGUGGUUGAAAGCUAGAUUUUGCAUGAUGAACACCACCUUGAUAACCUUGUGGUCUAGAGCAGGUAACCUUAUGAGUCUAGAGUAGGUGAUGGCUUCAAUAAUGCAAUAGAGAAAUUGAAACUUGUAUUGAGUUUUCUGCAGCUAACCUUGUGCAGAUAUAUCGAGGCGUUAAACUGGCCACUGGGGUCUGGGAUACGAGUUUGAUAUAAGUUGCAUGGGUGACGAUGCCACAGCUAAGAAGUGGAGCAAGGAGAUCAAAACGGUUAGUUAAUCUCCAGCCUGCUACUCAUCCAAUUGACCAAACGGAAAACGUCACCGCACCAACGAGAACCAGAAGGAAGACGGGUGGUGGAAGGGGACGAGGUGAUGCUGCAGGUGUAAGAAAAGGGCUCGUGGCGGCAACGAUAGGUAGAACAGUGGCUGGCGGUAGAGGCAGAG
Long non-coding RNA from Helianthus annuus (common sunflower), 716 nucleotides. RefSeq lists it as uncharacterized. The record is from RefSeq and is a predicted model, not a curated record. The transcript has 3 exons. Lineage: Eukaryota; Viridiplantae; Streptophyta; Magnoliopsida; Asterales; Asteraceae.